CCUACGGGAUGCAGCAGUAGGGAAUUUUCGGCAAUGGGCGGAACCCUGACCGAGCAACGCCGCGUGUAUGAAGAAGGUCUUCGUAAUGUAAAGUUCUUUUAACGGGGAGGAAAGUGCAAUUUGACGGUACCUGAAGAAUAGGCUCCGGCUACAUACGUGCCAGCAGCUGCGGUAGUACGUAGGGAGCGAGCGUUAGCCGGAAUGAUAGGGCGAAACGGGUUCGUAGAUGGCAGAGAAAGUCUUUUGUAAAAAUGCUGGGCUAAACCGAGUAGUGCAAAAGAUACUGGAAAGCUAGAGUAUGACAGAGGGAAGUGGAACUACAGGUGUAGCGGUGAAAUGCGUAAAUAUCUGUAAGAACACCGGUGGCGAAGGCGGCUGCCUGGGUCAAGACUGACGUUGAGGUACGAAAGCGUGGGGAGCAAACAGGAUUAGAUACCCUAGUAGUC
RNAcentral lists this ribosomal RNA (446 nucleotides) under uncultured bacterium. RNAcentral's name for it is "partial 16S ribosomal RNA". It matches the Rfam family "Bacterial small subunit ribosomal RNA", at positions 338 to 795 of the family's 1533-position model. The record is from RNAcentral.